This 4332-nucleotide long non-coding RNA is filed under the name Homo sapiens (human). RNAcentral's name for it is "novel transcript". Lineage: Eukaryota; Metazoa; Chordata; Mammalia; Primates; Hominidae. The record is from RNAcentral.
GGGGCUCGGAAGCUUCUGCCCGCGCGGAGAUAAACAAGCACCGCGACCGCCGAGCAGCGCCGAACCCAGCGCGCCCAGUCAGACCCCAGGGCCUGUGUACCGAGCAUGCGCAGUUCCCGCCCAAGCCAGGAGCAGCGUCAACCUGAGACUCCCGAGACAUUAAGAAUUCGGAAGGGAUGAGAUGGUAGAGGGGCUAGAGCUACCUCCAAGCUUUAUCCUGAGGCGGGGAGUGAAGGAGAGAUGCCCAAGGCCCAAGAGGGGCCGCGAGGGCCUUUGUCCGAUGCCACCCAGUCUGUCAGCACUCCUAGAGCUUUGGUUUUAUCUUGUAUUAGCAUGUGAAGCUUUAAGGGGGGGGCACCUACAGGCUUCUGACUGAAGUUGUGUAAACGCAACAAAAUGAAGCUUUGGAGCGUUAGGACAUUGAUGGGAGGGUGACGCCCCCCUCUAGCAGCGCGCCAGAGGGGCGAGUCAGAGGCGGCCACACACCACGGAAGUCGGGUCCAAGCCCGCUGACGUCGCCGGGGUCCCGCCCACCAACCCUCUGGACCCGCCCACAUUUCUUCUAGACCCGCCCCUUUCGGUGCCGAACUGAAGUCGAGCUCUUCCCACGCCCUGUCAGCCACGGGUGAGUUGAAAACCUGGAGAGCGGAAUCCCGAACGGCAGCCGGAAGGCCCUGGACUCCUCAUAGCAACAGCCAGCUAGGGGCAUCUAGUGGGAAGCUGGGAUUCAUUCUAGCCAACCACAUCACGUCUCUGUACCACAAGGUACCAUUCACGACCAAUAAGAGAGCGCCCCCAUACCACGUGCCUUUACUCCUUCAACCAAUCGAGAAAAACGCUAGUCGUAGGAUCCGCAAGCCCACCUCCCAGUGCCUUGCCAGGCGGGGCUCUUCGCGCACGCUCUGCCAACCAAUCGUAGGUGAGCUGGCGAGUGACGGAAGCUUCGGCCAAGCCAACCAGAGCUCGCGAGCCCCUUGCCACCGAGGCCGGCGGGAUGGAGACAGGGACCGGCUGCUGGGGUUUGGGAGGGGCAGAGAUUGAGGAGCCAGUUGCUGUGCCCUGUUCUGGCAAAAGAACAAGAUGCGUUGCAAGCCAGAAUGAUGAAUUCCACUUUUCACGUCGCCUCCGUGGCAUUCUGCCUAAAUGAUGGGCAUGGAAAUGGUGCUGAGGGAUGUGGGCUGAAUCGAGAACACAGGGACUUUUGUCUUCAGGGUGAGAAAUGUUCCGGUCCUUAAGGAAACAUCGUGCAGCAGUUGCAUGGGUCUUCCAGGCGUUCCUCCCAAAACAUUAUUUUUUUUCUUUCACUAUUGAGUUUUAAAACUUAGCGUUCUGUCGCUAGCAUUGCAUCUUAGUUACACAUCCUCUCCCACCCAUAACGUCAAAUUUAGGAGACGAUACAUCCCCAAGCUUUCCUGCAUUAUUUUUUGCAGUAACUGGUUAUUCAGUUUACUUUCUUUAAACUAUGUCCUUCUCAAACUAGUCUCACCUGUUCGUUACUGUCGCACAUUUCCUGCGAAUAACACGUUUCUGUAGUUCUGUUGUUAGAGCCUGGCAUACCUCUCCCCGUUCCUCUUUCCCACAAGGUCAUCAUGCAGAGGGGAUUUUGGUCUGAGUUAAAAGCCAGGUAUUCUUUCACCAUCUUUUCUGUCGAUAGUCAAACUACUACAAAGACUACUCAAAUUUAGUAGUUUCUUAUUUCCCUAUAGCUUCGUUAUAUUAGAAUGGAUAACUUAUAUUUGCAUUACCUUGCUGUAAUGAACACACACCAAGUUUUCAUUUAAAAUUAUCAAGGACAAAUGUCCUCUGAAUUUAAAAAUGUGUAUGUAGUAAAAUAUAACUCAGCAUUUCUUGAUUACAUAUCAUUAAAAUAUGAAUGGUACUAUCUGAGCCACCAGAAUCAGCAGUGAAGGUAUUAUAUUAAUAAAAAGGACUAAGAAUCAGGACUGUUUUAAGGGAACUGGAACCGAAGAGGAUCUACUAUUUCAUCCUAGGCUAGUUAACAUGAAAUAGUGAAUUAAAAUUGAAAGAGCUUACAUGGAUGCUUCAUAUCUGAGCUACUUUGGCAGGGAUGUUUCAAGAGGAUGUAGGGAACAGUGUGUUCUGUACUAAAGGAAAACCCCUGCUUGGAACAAAGGUGUUGCUGAGUAGUUCUGCCAGAGACUUUCAUUUCAAAGGCAGAAUUUUAUUUCACAGGAAAUGUGAAUCUGAAAGUAUUUUACUAGUAAUUAGCUUUUAAAAUAGCAAGUGACUUCAUGUUCUUCAUUUAUGCUUGGAAGCUGGACAUGGAAUUUGUGGGGAAUUUUUCUGACUUUUGUGAAAUUGUUAGGGACACGCCAUAUUCUAGCUAAGAAAUAAAGAUGUACCAAACUCGGCUUUCACCUGAGACAUCACCCACUGCCUACGGAACAGUCCUAAGGCGAUGGUGAGCCAAGAUAUUAAGGGAUAUCAACUAAGUGUCCUGAGUUGGUGAUGUUCUAGCGGGGACCCCAGCUCCUUGUACUUUCAUCCUCAUCUCCAGUGAAAUUCUCACAGGAUUCAUCAUCAUGACAGCACUCGCUAAGUGUUCAAUCUUCUUGUCCUCAUUUGUAGAUGGUAAAACUGAGACACAGAGAGGUUAAAGGUCUGGCCAAAGGCUCACAGUUAGUAACUAGUGGGAGACAAGAUUGGUGCCUAGGCAAUCUGACCUCAAAGCCACUUCUCUUCCCAUAUUUGAAGACAUUAAACUGGGACAUUGGCGUGAGUGACUGAUAUAGACAGAUUCUGUCACAUCCCUGGCUGCUGUUAUCACUGGUAAGUUGCGGCUUAGAUCUCUACCUCAGCCUUUCACUGAUGCACAUUCUCAGUUUUACUAGGUAACACAUAAUAGUUUUCUAAAGUGAUACCAAUUUAAACUCCAAACACUACAUAAGAGUACCUUUUGUUGAAUGUUUAAAUUUUUUGCUGACCUGAUAUAUAUGAAAUGGUACCUCGUUAUGGUUUUAAUUGCAUUUCCCCGAUUUUUAAUGGAGAAUUUUUCAUGUUUCGGGGCCAUUUAUGUUUCCUCUUCUAUGAAAUGCCUGUUCAUGUCUUUUGCUUAUUUUUAUAUUGGGUUGUUUAUCCCUUUUUGUAUUGUUUUGUAGGAGUCCUUAACAUAUUCAAAUAUUAAUUUUUAUCUCCUGUGUGUGUAUCAAGUAUCUUCUUUUAGUUCAUUUUCUUGUCUUCCUUUAGAGCCCUUAGACAAGUAGAAUUUCUUAAUUUCAAAGGAGUUGAAUUUAUUAAUUUUUCCCCGAAGAUUCUAAACUUUAUAAAAACAUUUCAUGUAUCUUCCCCUCCCCCCAAGAUGGGAAACAUAUUCUUAUGCACUAUCUUCUCAAAAAUGUAUAAUUUUUCCCUUCACAAUGAAACCUUCUAUCUAAUUUGAAUAGAUGAUUUUUAUGAAUGGUGGGAGGUAAGGGUUCAACCUAAAUUUUUUUUUAAUCCAUUGCAUAACCAAAUUCCCUAGUAGCAUUUAUUGCAUAAUUCCCCUGUCCCUACUGAUCUUCAAUGCCUGUCACUCUGUCAUGAGCCAAGGUUUUUUUUGUUUUGUUUUUUUGUUUUUGUUUUUUUUUUUAAAAUGUGGGCUGUUUCUGGCUUUUCUGUUUUAUUCCAUUGGUCUUCCUUGUCUAACACUAUAUCAGUUCCACACUGCCUUAGUUACUACAGUUUUUGAAUUAGCCCUGGUAGGGGUUGGGAGAGCUCUUUACCUUAUUCUCCUUCAAGAGUGUUUUGGCUGUUCCUAGUUCUUUGCUUUUCUGUAUACAUUUUAGAAUCAGUUUUCCAGGUACCAUAAAUAAUGCUGUUAAUAUUUUGAUUCAAUUGCAUUAAAGCUAUAGAUUAAUAUGGGAAGAUGUGAUAUCUUAAUGAUAUUGUUUUAUUUCCCAUUUGUGCACAUGGAAUAUCUCUCUGCUUAUUAAGAUCUUACAAAAAAGCUGAAAAUUUUCUCAAAAAGCACUUGCACAUAUUUUGUCAUAUUAAUUCCUAGGUAUGUCAUCUGGUUCAUAAAAACCUCAUUUACAGCUCCCCAGUCUUUCUUUCCCUGUAUGUUGUUGGAUGCUCACAAUAACUUUGGAAGUCACAAGUUGAACAGGAUGGCAUCUCCAUCAGUGGGCCCACAAGUGACUUGGUGGAGUAGAGCCCCAUCUCUCACCUAUUUCCCAUUAAAUUAGCUUUACCUGCUAAGAAACAAAUUCUUUUGUUAAGCCACUGAGAUGUAUCUAUUACAACAAAUAAGAUUAUCUUAAUUAAUGCAUAUUAAUUUUAAUCUUGGAAAUCUGAUAAACAUUUAUUAAUCUUAAUAUUUACCUGUUGAUUCUU